GUCGAACGAACUCUGGUAUUGAUUGGUGCUUGCAUCAUGAUUUACAUUUGAGUGAGUGGCGAACUGGUGAGUAACACGUGGGAAACCUGCCCAGAAGCGGGGGAUAACACCUGGAAACAGAUGCUAAUACCGCAUAACAACUUGGACCGCAUGGUCCGAGUUUGAAAGAUGGCUUCGGCUAUCACUUUUGGAUGGUCCCGCGGCGUAUUAGCUAGAUGGUGGGGUAACGGCUCACCAUGGCAAUGAUACGUAGCCGACCUGAGAGGGUAAUCGGCCACAUUGGGACUGAGACACGGCCCAAACUCCUACGGGAGGCAGCAGUAGGGAAUCUUCCACAAUGGACGAAAGUCUGAUGGAGCAACGCCGCGUGAGUGAAGAAGGGUUUCGGCUCGUAAAACUCUGUUGUUAAAGAAGAACAUAUCUGAGAGUAACUGUUCAGGUAUUGACGGUAUUUAACCAGAAAGCCACGGCUAACUACGUGCCAGCAGCCGCGGUAAUACGUAGGUGGCAAGCGUUGUCCGGAUUUAUUGGGCGUAAAGCGAGCGCAGGCGGUUUUUUAAGUCUGAUGUGAAAGCCUUCGGCUCAACCGAAGAAGUGCAUCGGAAACUGGGAAACUUGAGUGCAGAAGAGGACAGUGGAACUCCAUGUGUAGCGGUGAAAUGCGUAGAUAUAUGGAAGAACACCAGUGGCGAAGGCGGCUGUCUGGUCUGUAACUGACGCUGAGGCUCGAAAGUAUGGGUAGCAAACAGGAUUAGAUACCCUGGUAGUCCAUACCGUAAACGAUGAAUGCUAAGUGUUGGAGGGUUUCCGCCCUUCAGUGCUGCAGCUAACGCAUUAAGCAUUCCGCCUGGGGAGUACGGCCGCAAGGCUGAAACUCAAAGGAAUUGACGGGGGCCCGCACAAGCGGUGGAGCAUGUGGUUUAAUUCGAAGCUACGCGAAGAACCUUACCAGGUCUUGACAUACUAUGCAAUCUAAGAGAUUAGACGUUCCCUUCGGGGACAUGGAUACAGGUGGUGCAUGGUUGUCGUCAGCUCGUGUCGUGAGAUGUGGAUAAGUCCCCGCAACGAGCGCACCUCUUAUUAUCAGUUGCCAGCAUUAAGUUGGGCACUCUGGUGAGACUGCCGGUGACAAACCGGAGGAAGGUGGGGAUGACGUCAAAUCAUCAUGCCCCUUAUGACCUGGGCUACACACGUGCUACAAUGGAUGGUACAACGAGUUGCGAACUCGCGAGAGUAAGCUAAUCUCUUAAAGCCAUUCUCAGUUCGGAUUGUAGGCUGCAACUCGCCUACAUGAAGUCGGAAUCGCUAGUAAUCGCGGAUCAGCAUGCCGCGGUGAAUACGUUCCCGGGCCUUGUACACACCGCCCGUCACACCAUGAGAGUUUGUAACACCCAAAGUCGGUGGGGUAACCUUUUAGGAA
RNAcentral lists this ribosomal RNA (1420 nucleotides) under Lactiplantibacillus plantarum. RNAcentral's name for it is "bacterial SSU rRNA". It matches the Rfam family "Bacterial small subunit ribosomal RNA". The record is from RNAcentral. Lineage: Bacteria; Bacillati; Bacillota; Bacilli; Lactobacillales; Lactobacillaceae.